AAUUCUCAACUGCCUUUUUAGCAUUUAUGUUAAGGGUGAAGUUGGAGUUGGAGGAUAAUUGCUGGCGCACAACUUAGGUUGUGUUUGUUAGCUCCUCCUAAAUGGAUGAGCUUUUCUAAUAGAUCAUGGCUCAGUAACACUAAUGUGAUAAUUAUCUACAUUAAAUGUGAAAGUUAUGAGUAGAGUAACUUCAAUUGUGGAGAAGCUCCUAUAGAAAGGGUAUGUCUUGGGGAUAAAUAAACCCUUGACUUGAAAUAUAAUGACAA
This 266-nucleotide unclassified non-coding RNA is filed under the name uncultured Thelephoraceae. RNAcentral's name for it is "sequence contains ITS2". The record is from RNAcentral. RNAcentral also lists the same sequence under 1 other name. Lineage: Eukaryota; Fungi; Basidiomycota; Agaricomycetes; Thelephorales; Thelephoraceae.